RNAcentral lists this long non-coding RNA (1209 nucleotides) under Dromaius novaehollandiae (emu). Its description in RNAcentral is "lncRNA (ENSDNVG00000003909.1)". Lineage: Eukaryota; Metazoa; Chordata; Aves; Casuariiformes; Dromaiidae. The record is from RNAcentral.
GGAUCGUCUCGAAAGGGACGCGAAAACGGCCACAUCUCCGCGAGGCUCCCCGAAAUAGGAGCCGCSUUCCCGCGGCCCUCGUUGCAGGGUUGCAAUCUGCGAGAGUUGUGCAGCGCUGGCCUCGUUCGGAGGGAAAAAGGGCGACGCUGGGAGCUUCUGGCUUCUAGGAAAAGGGGGCAAAUUGGAGACCUGUGAACCGCGUCCCGGGGCUGGACGGCGCUGCCCCUUCGCCCGCCGCGCCGGACGCAUCGACCUCCGUCGGCACGUGGAAGCGCGAACCCAUCGCGUAGGGCCAACGGGGACCGCRAGCCUCGGUACCGGGGAGAAAACCCUCGUGCGCUUCACGAGGUUGGCAAACRCCAGCCAAAGCGCCUCGCCGUUGAAACGUAAAACAAAAAUGUAGGAAAGGAGGAGUUAAUUCAAUUAAACGCYUUCCCACCCACAUUUUACCUUUCCUCAGCGCUCAGGGGAAUCAUUCMUGGGAUGUAUAUCACCAGCGGACUUAUUUUUACCGUUAUUUUUAACUUAAUGAGUAUACCUUACGUAUCAGAGAGAAAGCACAAAGGUUAAAUUUUACAUUAAGAGCACAUUGCGCCAUGKUAUGCAAAUAUUGCUAUGCAAAUGYAAAGCCAGCGGAAGAUAAAUGUGUUAUAUUUUUAACCAGUUAACUAUGACUGUGAAGUAUGGUGCAAGAUAUUCAGUAGUUUCAUUUUAUAUCUUUCUUGUAAAUAAUGCAUAAAGUAUGUAGAUGUUGUCAAAAUAUGAUUAAGCUAUUAGCUUUAUAGUUUUCAUAGUUAAGAAUGUGUUCAGCAUGUAGCUCAUAAUAACUCAUUUCUAAACGCAGACACCAUUAUAAAAUAUUUCUUGUUCAAGUGAAUGUUAUCAUGUGACAUAAUGAUUUUGCUUAAAACCAAGUUAAAUGAGGAGUAAAAUUAAACAAUAUUGCAUGAAUUGUGUUUGACUAAUUUUGUGUCACAUUAUAUUAGCCAAGCUUUCAAAAUAUGUGUUAAUGACAAAUAGUGUAAGCCCCUAACAUACUUUAUAUGUCUGUAAAAUCACCCUUAAGUCAUUAGCAUUUAAAGGUUCAUUUUGUUUGCAGUUUUUGUAGCCACUGGCUUUUUCGUGAUUACUUUUGUCUGUGAAAGUAGACAUGAUUAAAAAAAUAUAUUUUACGUAAGUCUUUGGGACUUACGGACGCAUUGUGGGGAC